CAUGGGGGAAUAUUGCACAAUGGGCGCAAGCCUGAUGCAGCCAUGCCGCGUGUGUGAAGAAGGCCUUCGGGUUGUAAAGCAUUUCAGUUGUGAGGAAGGUGGUGUCGUUAAUAGCGGCAUCAUUUGACGUUAGCAACAGAAGAAGCACCGGCUAACUCCGUGCCAGCAGCCGCGGUAAUACGGAGGGUGCGAGCGUUAAUCGGAAUUACUGGGCGUAAAGCGCAUGCAGGUGGUUUGUUAAGUCAGAUGUGAAAGCCCGGGGCUCAACCUCGGAACUGCAUUUGAAACUGGCAGACUAGAGUACUGUAGAGGGGGUAGAAUUUCAGGUGUAGCGGUGAAAUGCGUAGAGAUCUGAAGGAAUACCGGUGGCGAAGGCGGCCCCCUGGACAGAUACUGACACUCAGAUGCGAAAGCGUGGGGAGCAAACAGGAUUAGAUACCCUUGUAG
This 447-nucleotide ribosomal RNA is filed under the name uncultured bacterium. RNAcentral describes it as "bacterial SSU rRNA". It matches the Rfam family "Bacterial small subunit ribosomal RNA", at positions 352 to 793 of the family's 1533-position model. The record is from RNAcentral.